AUUGAACGCUGGCGGCAUGCCUUACACAUGCAAGUCGAACGGUAACAGGUCUUCGGAUGCUGACGAGUGGCGAACGGGUGAGUAAUACAUCGGAACGUGCCUAGUAGUGGGGGAUAACUACUCGAAAGAGUGGCUAAUACCGCAUGAGAUCUACGGAUGAAAGCAGGGGAUCGCAAGACCUUGUGCUACUAGAGCGGCCGAUGGCAGAUUAGGUAGUUGGUGGGAUAAAAGCUUACCAAGCCGACGAUCUGUAGCUGGUCUGAGAGGACGAUCAGCCACACUGGGAGUGAGAAAAGGCCCAGACUCGUACGGGAGGCAGCAGUGGGGAAUUUUGGACAAUGGGCGCAAGCCUGAUCCAGCAAUGCCGCGUGCAGGAUGAAGGCCUUCGGGUUGUAAACUGCUUUUGUACGGAACGAAAAGCCCCGGGUUAAUACCCUGGGGUCAUGACGGUACCGUAAGAAUAAGCACCGGCUAACUACGUGCCAGCAGCCGCGGUAA
Molecule: ribosomal RNA, 498 nt
Filed under: uncultured bacterium
Lineage: Bacteria
Description: partial 16S ribosomal RNA
Rfam family: Bacterial small subunit ribosomal RNA
Source: RNAcentral